RNA transcript from Sus scrofa (pig), 8299 nucleotides. It is a transcript of the gene named synaptotagmin 6, with no coding region annotated. NCBI's taxonomy places the organism in Eukaryota, Metazoa, Chordata, Mammalia, Artiodactyla, Suidae. The record is from RefSeq and is a predicted model, not a curated record.
CUCAGUGGGUUAAGGAUCUGGCGUUUCAUUGAGCUGUGGUGUAGUCGCAGAUGCGGCUUGGAUCCUGAGUUGCUGUAGCUCUCAGCGUAGGAUGAGGAUGGAUGGCGUAGGAUGGCAGCUGAGGCUCUGAUGCAACCUCUAGCCUGGGAACCUCCAUAUGCACAGGUGUGGCCCCCAAAAGAAGAAAAAAGUAAAUGAGCUCAAUGUUCUCUUGGCAAUCUUUAGGGCAUGGGUUCGCCUCUAGAUAAUGUGCCUGCUGGCUUUCCCUCUAUGACCUGAGAGAAGGAAGAAAGGGACAGGAACUGGCACUUGUUGAAUACCUGCCAUGAAUCAGUCACAGUAUAGUAGGCAUUUAACCCAACACAUCACCCUUGUACAGCAUAAACCAGGUAUUAUAUGUCCCAUUUUACAGAUGAGGAAGUUGAGGUUCAGAGAGCUUAAAGUGAUACAGCUGGUAAGUGACAGAGCCAGGAUUUGAACACACACACAGGUCUGUGUGACUCUGAAACUGAUGCUCUUUCUUCUACACAAGGUCAGUGUGAAGAGGAGCACACUUGGCUUCCUUCCCAGCCCUUCCCCUCAAUAUCAUUCUCGAGUAAUACAGAGAAAGCCCUGGACCCACCACGUUUAGGUCCAGCUCUAAAACUGUUAUAGGGAUGAUGUUGCCUUCGGACCUUGAAUCUGUAUCUGCUUUCCUGGUCCCCGGCUUGCUUCAGCCCACAAACCCAGGCUGGAAGCAUCGAACCCUGUCCAGCCCUUCCCAAAUCUGAUCUGGAACUCUUUUUAUGUUUGAGCAGAAAGCACAGAACAGACGUGAGGCCUUGAAACAGGGACGGAACGAGAGACAGGCAAAUAUCACGUCUGCUCAAGAAGUUUGAAUCAUCGAGGACCUUUCCUAGAAUAAAAACAAGACUGGAGUCUCAAACACACCUGGGCAUUGACUCAGGUGUGGUCUUCUGCACCUUUCAGGCAAAGAGGAAUUCCUGACAACUCUUGUAAUGGCUUGGAGGGGCAUGGUUUGCAGAAAUUACCCAGCUUUGGCUAGAGUUGCUGUUGGUGUAGGCGUGCGAGGCACAGGGUGGUAUCUGCUGGAAAUACUGAUAAAGCUGUUCUGGCAGAAACCCCAUGGGGAUUCCAUAGACACUUUGUUCCAAAUAAUGGCACAAAGUUACUCCUACCCUCCCAAUUCAGGACAUCAGCUUCAUUCUCCACCAGCAGUAGGACAGGUUCAACUGAUGUCUGUGUUCUUAGGGUAAAUUUCAAAGCUUCAUAGAAAGCAGCCAGAUGCCUCGGCAAGCAGGAGAUGGGCGCAGCGGGGAGAAGAGAUCCAGGGAUAUUCAAGGUUGAAUCAGAGUCCUCUUGGCUUCGAUUUGCUUGGCAAAGCAGUGGGUCUGCUUGUGUCUUUUUCUCUCUAUCUCUCCCCGCGCAUGAGAUGAUCCAGCUCUGAACGUCAGACUGCUCCCUUUACAUCUCUGCUGGGGGUUUGGAGGGGAGGAGGGAAUGGGGAAAGGGCUCCCUAUUUAGAAAUUGCAUUGAGAUGGAAAGACAAUAUGACACAUCGGCUCAUGUCAAAGGAGCUCAUUCUUCCCGCCUACAGCAUUAGCAAUUUCCUACUGAGGUUUAAUUUUUUUUUUUUUAGAAAUUAUUAUUUUUCUUUAAUGUAUUUUAUUUGUAGCACAACUCAACAGGACAUUGCUGCUCAGAGCAGGGCGGGAAGCUGGCCAAGGGCAGUCAGGCCACUGCCUAAGAGACCUGGCGUAGGAGGCAGGGGAAAGGUACUUGGGCUUUUUCUCAGGCAAGGAGGCCAUAGGAGUGGGAGGCCCCUGGUUUUGCCUCAAACCUCCUCUCAUUCUGCCUCUUCUCCCACCUCCAACCCCUUCUCCUGCUUCAGAGCAGGCUGGCCUGGGGGCUCCAGACUCAGGAUGCUCCAGCCAUGACUGUGCAGCAGUGAUGAGGGGGGGGAGGUGCAAAGUGAGCCCCACCAUCUGAGACACCCCCUUUCCUUCAGAGCCAGAAAAAACGGCUCCCUGGCCCUUCCUUCCUUUCCCUGCUCAGCUUCCUUCUCCCCCCCCCCCCCCGCCCCCACUUAAAACCCUAGAGUGUAGUUGCUAGAAGGAGCCUCAAAGAGCCCGUUAUCCUAUUUCACUGUUUUGCAGAUAAGGAAACCAAGGCCCUGACCGGGGACUGGGGACACAACUGUCCCAGGGCGUAGUGCACCCGAACCCAGCCUCCUAGGCCAGGCUAGCUGUCUCGGCUCCUCUUUCUCUUCUCCACCCCCAGCCAAAACUCAGAAUGGUCGUCCUCUGAGAGACAGCACUGAUGGGCAAUAAUUUCACUUCUCUCCUCUCCUUCCCUCCCUGGGUCUGAGUAGGACCCUGAGAGUGUAAAUUUGGUCUCUUCAGAUGGGAAGAAGCAUAGAUGUGUUUGGGGAGUGGGCCUGUAGCGGAAAGGGUGCUCUAGAGAGGAAAAGGUCCCAUCUUUACCAGGAGAUUUUUUUUUUCCAGCUUUGUGGCUGGCGAUGUGACCAAAAGUAUCAGCAAUUAACUGCGGGGGAGAGGGCAAGAAGAUAACAACUACGGCAGAGCUUUUCUCUUAAUGAAAAAAAAUUUUUUCUUUUAUCUCUCUUUCUGAAUGAGUGUCGCUUUAUAUGCAUGCCAGUUCUGUGUCUUUUUCUUCUUUGUAUCUCUCUCUGCAUCUCCUAUAUUGGUCUAUAUGUCUCUCUCAUCCUCUGCCUCUCCACGUGUCUGUCUCUGAUCUCUGUCUCUGUCUCUCUCUCUCUCUCUCACACACACACACAGAGUCACUUAUGCAGACCAAAUUCAAUAGUUAUUGAUUGGCCAGGGAGCCCCAGCCCCUUCCAGCAGCCCCAUCAGAGCAAAACCUUUUUCUCCCUGUUCAGUUGAGAAAUGCCAGGUCCGGAGCUGCUGCCGAGGCGCCAGAGACGCCGCAGAACCGCCUGCCGAGUGUGGAGGCUGAAUCCGGGAACAAUGAGAAAUUAUCUGUUAAUUCUCGAUUCCUGCCACCUGCUCUGCUCCGAACCGGCUCCUUUGCCUUCAGUUUAGAUGCAAAUUCCCUCACUCGUUGUAAAGCAAAAUAUUGAUUUCCCUGCAUCACGGCCCGGGCCCUUGGAACGGACCUUGUUUUUUUCAUUCUCUGCAAAGGCAAAACAAGGCGCUUUGUUCUGCAAAUUUCCCCAGGAACUCGAGAGGGGGAGGGAUAAGUCGCCGCCGAGUGGCAGAGUUGCCAUAAACAUGGGCAGAGAGCGAUUCUUCUCCAUUUGUUAUUUUACAUAAACACAAACCUACUCCCUAGGAAACUGCUAAUGAGCGCGUGACAAGGGGGCCUCUGAGCUCCAGUCUCUCCCAGGUACUGAGCUCUGCAUUGGGUGGUGGAGGGAAAAGUGACUUGGCCUCUAGGCUCCUCAGGUGGAUUCUAAAAGCACUGGGAGGCGAAUGGGGACUCCACAGCCUCACCUGUUCUUGGAACUGCAGUUUAGCACCUCCCACAGGAAGGCAGCCUGGAUUGCAUCGUGUGGCCACGACCAUGCCUACUCAGUCCCUCUUGCCUGCUUUCCUAGCUCCUCCAUAUCGCGAGCUCCUAAAGUCUGGGUGGAAGCUUUGAACCCGCCGCAAUGGCCCACCCCACCCUUCUUCCCUAACGCAGUGCCCACGAGACGGUUGCACCAACGGGGCCUUCAGCACCGCGGACAGAGCUGCGAAGCGCAGAGGGAGAGAAAAAACCUCCAAGUUAGGCCAGGGUCCUCUUAGGCCUCGGCUUGACUCUCCGUACUUGGGGGCACUAGCUGCCCGGCGCUGUCAAGGGCUGGCUAGCGCAGCUGGCACAGAUGGCGCACGGUGGAGACCGCCAAGAGCUGGCGCUCCGAAUCUCCUCCCUCCGGAACCUGAGUCACUGCCCAAGCCACUUCCAAUUAGCGUGUUAAUUAGGAGGAAAGACCCUCCUCCUCCACCCACCACCCGGGUACACACCAGCCCCGCGGCUUCCAGAGGCUCCGGAUAAAGUUUCCUUCCUAGCUGCGGAAGGCAAAGGGGCCUGAGCCUGGAGUGUCAGGUGAAUCCCACAGAGGAAGGGGCCCACCCUCCUACCAGCCCAGAAAGCAAGACUUUUAUGACAGGACCACCGCAGGGCUGCGACCUGGUGGCUGUCCACAGACCUCCAGGGCUGACUGAGGCAUGUAGGAGUUCCUCAGUCAACCUGCUCCUAGGCCACACACCACAAUUCCUGGAAGAGAGUUCUGCCCGGUCUAGCCUCAAUCUUUCGUUUCAGUUUUCGGUCUUUCUGGCCCUUGUUACACUUAUUAGCAAGAUUCAUCAUCUCCGAUUGUGUUGCACCUUUGCGGGGAGAUGGGUCUGGCGGGAACCGAGCGCCCUCUUGAAACGCCCCCCAUUCCUAUUCGGCAGAAACUUUCCCCUCCGGUUGCCAUGGAGAGAGACGGCCGCUGCCUCCCGUCGCCAUAGCAACGUGCGGGUACCGCGGACCGCAGGAUUGCGGGGCUCAGAAAGUCUUUUUGCAGUUCGCAUCGCCCCGCGGUCUUAGGGUCUUCUGCCUCCGAAGCCAGGAGCUGGAGCAAGUCUAACUUCUCCCAUCAGAAACCUUGGCCAAGGUCCUCCUGCCCCCAGCGGGGUCAUUCUUCUUUCCGUAGAAGGUUCAUCUAUUUCGUUACCACUUGUGUGGUAUGUGGCAAUCUACCCAGUGUUUUCACAAACAUCAUCUUUAUAUCCCCAGGCAGCCCGUGAAACACUCGUAAUUAUUAUACCCCUUUUACAGAGAGGAAACACUGAGGCUCAGAAAGGCUUAAGGUCACUCCAGGCAGUGGAUGCGGAACCAGAUCCCAGGCUCUUUCCUGGGUCCUGCACCCUCCAGGAUGCGGGACAACCUGGCUCCCAGCCUUGAACCGCCCGGACUCAGACCGGUCGCUGAGUGUAGAGGGGGCGGCCGUGAGGCGCCAGACUUGCCAGCUGCCGCGGGAUGCCACGUGAGGGGCGGAGACCCUGCGGGGAAGUGAUUAAAAGCUGAACCGAGCCGGAGGGGGCUGCUGCGGGGAGGGUCUUCUUGAGGCCGUCUUGCCCCGCCCCACUCCGGCCGCGGCGCGGGUUUGGGCGGCUGCUUGGAGGGCCUGGGUGUCCCGGGCAUGAGCGGCGUGUGGGGGACCGGGGAGCCUCGGUGCCAGGCGGCGCUCGCGGUCCUGGCCUCGCUGUGCCGGGCCCGGCCGCCCCCGCUCGGGCUGGACGUGGAGACUUGUCGGAGCUUCGAGCUAGAGCCCCCAGAGCGGAGUCCGAGCGCAGCCGACUCAGGCCCCUCUGUCAGCCUCCUGGCAGUGGUAGUUAUUGUGUGUGGCGUGGCCCUGGUGGCAGUUUUUCUCUUUCUCUUUUGGAAGCUGUGCUGGACGCCCUGGAGGAACAAGGAGGCCUCCAGCCCCUCCUCUGCUAACCCCUCCCCCGAGGCCCUCCCGAGCCCCAGCGCCAGGGGCAGCAUGGCAGACAAGCUGAAGGACCCCAGCAGCCUCGGCUUCCUAGAGGCAGCCGUCAAGAUCAGCCACACGUCCCCAGAUAUUCCGGCCGAGGUGCAGAUGUCCGUCAAGGAGCACAUCAUGCGUCACACGCGGCUGCAGCGACAGACCACAGAGCCAGCGUCAUCCACCAGGCACACGUCCUUCAAGCGCCACCUGCCGCGGCAGAUGCAUGUCUCCAGCGUGGACUACGGCAACGAGCUGCCCCCCGCGGCCGAGCAGCCCACCAGCAUUGGCCGCAUCAAGCCCGAGCUCUACAAGCAGAAGUCCGUGGAUGGGGACGAUGCCAAAUCCGAGGCCAAGAGCUGUGGGAAGAUCAACUUCAGCCUGCGCUACGACUACGAGAACGAGACCCUGAUCGUGCGCAUCCUGAAGGCCUUCGACCUCCCUGCCAAGGACUUUUGCGGCAGCUCCGACCCUUACGUCAAGAUCUACCUCCUGCCCGACCGCAAAUGCAAGCUGCAGACCCGGGUGCACCGCAAGACCCUGAACCCCACCUUCGAUGAGAACUUCCACUUCCCCGUGCCCUACGAGGAGCUGGCCGACCGCAAGCUGCACCUCAGCGUCUUCGACUUUGACCGCUUCUCCCGCCACGACAUGAUCGGGGAGGUCAUCCUGGACAACCUCUUUGAGGCCUCCGACCUGUCCCGGGAAACCUCCAUCUGGAAGGACAUCCAGUACGCCACCAGCGAAAGUGUGGAUCUGGGGGAGAUCAUGUUCUCCCUCUGCUACCUGCCCACAGCAGGCAGGCUCACCCUCACGGUGAUCAAGUGUCGGAACCUCAAGGCGAUGGACAUCACGGGCUACUCAGAUCCAUACGUCAAGGUGUCCCUGCUUUGUGACGGGCGGAGACUGAAGAAAAAGAAAACCACCAUCAAGAAGAACACCCUCAACCCCGUCUACAACGAGGCCAUAAUCUUUGACAUUCCGCCCGAGAAUAUGGAUCAAGUCAGCCUGCUCAUCUCGGUUAUGGAUUAUGAUCGAGUGGGCCACAAUGAGAUCAUAGGAGUCUGUCGUGUGGGGAUCAACGCCGAAGGCCUGGGCAGGGACCACUGGAACGAGAUGCUGGCGUACCCUCGGAAGCCCAUAGCACACUGGCACUCCUUGGUGGAGGUAAAGAAAUCCUUCAAAGAGGGAAACCCUCGGUUGUGAUUUCAUUCACGUGGAUGCUGCAAGCAGAGAGACUGCCACCCGGAGUUAGGAUGGCAGGGCCGAGCCGCCAGCUUCGACAGCGAGAGCUCGUGCCCGUCUCCAAAACCACCUCCGACACCAUGAGCUGCACAGCCGGCCGGGCUACACAAACGAAACUGAGCAGCGUUCUUUUUGCACUUGUUCAAUGUCUAAACACAGUGUGUGCAGCAGCGGCCGCAGGGGCAGCGCGCCUCUCACUCCAGAGUCUUAACUGCCCCUGUGUCGGUCAAGGCCGAGACGCUCGUCACGUGCUCAGAGCUGUCUUCGUCGUCUCUUGUCUCCCAAGGUGAUGUUUUUGUGGUUUUUUCACUUUGUAUGGAUCUGCUGCCAAGAAGGGAAAACACGUAGAGAAAAACAAAGAGGGGAGAGCCGUUGGUUCUAUUAAAUAUGUAAAAUAGUCUGGGGGGGAGGUGGUUUGAGUUUCUGAAAUUUUGUGUCUCCGCCGAGCUCUGUAACCUCAGAGGACAAGGAGGUAGGAUGGGCAGUGACUGUUUUUGCAGACGCUAGCUGGAAGGGGAAGGUGCAAACCAGGCGAAGAGCCCUUACAAGGACUACUUAGGACUCUCAGAAGCUCUUUGCUAAUGUGACGUGAACCGAGAUUCAGACUCCUGGUCCCGUGUUGAAAUCGCAAGCGCUCCGAGGUAUCCGUAGAACUUCAGCUGGCCUUGCAGGGCUCCUCGCUCCCCUUCCUCGUGGACUUUCCUCCUGAACUGACCGUGUCUUGAUUCCUCACGGGAACUGAGUCACUUUCUUUGGGAAUGAUUCUGCAGAAACUCAACAUGCCAUAUGUUUUCUGGCGUGCCACAGUUAAUGGCCACAUUUGUUUGAAAACAGAUCUUUGUCCUCAAAAAUAACCUUCAUUGUUUUAAAAAAAAAAAAAAAAAGGAAGCACAUAUGUUCUGGAAUGAUUUCUGCAUUAUACAUAGCUUUAUAAUUCCAUGCAGUAUCAAGCAGCUGUUUAAAAUGCCUAAACAGAUCCAAGAAAAACCUACCUAAUGUGUUCAUUUCUGAACGGGGAGUUGUGAAAUCCAAGUAAAAGGUAGAGUCUGUUUUUCUGUGAAGAGCAUCUUCUUGAUGGAAACCAAGUCAACUUGAGUCUAUUUCAGCCCCCUUGACUCCGGGACAAUGUUCAUCUUAACUUUAGUUCUAUAAAUUACUAAGUACUGCAGUGUGUGUUUGUUUCAGUGGUAGUAAAGGGUUGUUUUCCUUUAGAUCUCUACCGUAGGCCAUAUUCAGUAAAAAAGAAAUGUUUGAACUCUUCUGUAUUGUAAUCGUACAUUUCUGUUAAGAGCGGCCUUCCUACCAACCCCCUAGAACUAGGUUGAUUUGCUCCAUCUCAGUCUGUAUAGUCCUGGUACAUGUGUGGAGGUGGGUUUUUACGUCUGUUUGUGGCAGUGAAAUGCCAAUUUCCAGAGCUGUGUGUGUGACCUGCAAGAGGCAAGUCUGCUGAAGAAACAACCCUUCUUUCAGCAAUGGAAGGUCAAGAACGUGAACACUGUUCACAUACCCUGUGUCUUACUCUUUACAUGUCACCUGCUUUAGGAGCAACAACUCAAUAAAGUAACCCUUGUUCUAAGCCAA